Molecule: ribosomal RNA, 97 nt
Filed under: uncultured Gammaproteobacteria bacterium
Lineage: Bacteria; Pseudomonadati; Pseudomonadota; Gammaproteobacteria
Description: partial 16S ribosomal RNA
Rfam family: Bacterial small subunit ribosomal RNA
Source: RNAcentral
AAGCACCGGCUAACUCUGUGCCAGCCGCCGCGGUAAUACAGAGGGGGCGAGCGUCCAUCGGAAUUACUGGGCCGAAAAGCGCGCGCAGGCGGCGCGC